UUACGGCCACAUCACGUUUAAAGACCAGUUCCCGUACGAUCACAGAAGUUAAGGAACGUAGAGACUGAUCAGUGCCUAGAUGGGUGACCGCUUGCGAAUACCAGGUGACGUA
Molecule: non-coding RNA, 112 nt
Organism: Acanthosepion pharaonis
Lineage: Eukaryota; Metazoa; Mollusca; Cephalopoda; Sepiida; Sepiidae
Source: the annotation of a GenBank genome assembly